GCCAAACUUGGCAUGUGAUACCUUUUCGGAAAGCCCAAAGACAGCCCUCCGACGAAAUAAGCAGGACAAUGGGACAUUUCCGUUGACUUUUUGUCGACCCCCAAAUUUUGACCUUUAAGUACUUUUUCGGGCAUUUUCGUGAUUUGGGCUAUAUUACGGACCCAAAAUUACUUGUUCAAGCAUUGUUUUCGAAUUUUUUCAUGCAUCAAAGCUCGUUAAGACUAGAUGGGGUAUCCCUACAUAGCGGGUGGGACCCACGGCGAAUGGUUCAUCAAGUCUUCAAAAAAGAAUAUAUACGAUUGCAUUGCAUAUACUAACGGAUGCGAUCAUACCAGCACUAAUGCACCGGAUCCCAUCAGAACUCCGCAGUUAAGCGUGCUUGGGCGAGAGUAGUACUAGGAUGGGUGACCUCCCGGGAAGUCCUCGUGUUGCAUCCCUCUUUUAUGUUUA
This 450-nucleotide ribosomal RNA is filed under the name Arabidopsis suecica. The record is from RNAcentral. Lineage: Eukaryota; Viridiplantae; Streptophyta; Magnoliopsida; Brassicales; Brassicaceae.